ACACGUGGAUAACCUACCUAUGAGACUGGGAUAACUUCGGGAAACCGGAGCUAAUACCGGAUAAUAUUUUGAACCGCAUGGUUCAAAAGUGAAAGACGGUCUUGCUGUCACUUAUAGAUGGAUCCGCGCUGCAUUAGCUAGUUGGUAAGGUAACGGCUUACCAAGGCAACGAUGCAUAGCCGACCUGAGAGGGUGAUCGGCCACACUGGAACUGAGACACGGUCCAG
Molecule: ribosomal RNA, 227 nt
Filed under: uncultured Staphylococcus sp.
Lineage: Bacteria; Bacillati; Bacillota; Bacilli; Caryophanales; Staphylococcaceae
Description: partial 16S ribosomal RNA
Rfam family: Bacterial small subunit ribosomal RNA
Source: RNAcentral